This 101-nucleotide small nuclear RNA is filed under the name Pteropus vampyrus (large flying fox). Lineage: Eukaryota; Metazoa; Chordata; Mammalia; Chiroptera; Pteropodidae. The record is from RNAcentral.
GUUCUUCCGCAGCACAUAUACUGAAAUUGGAAUGAUACGAAGAAAAUGUGUGGCCCCUGCACAAAGAUAACACAUAAAUUCAUGAAACAUUCCAUAUUUUU